RNAcentral lists this unclassified non-coding RNA (571 nucleotides) under Hevea brasiliensis (rubber tree). Lineage: Eukaryota; Viridiplantae; Streptophyta; Magnoliopsida; Malpighiales; Euphorbiaceae. The record is from RNAcentral.
GUUACUAUAAGGUUGUUGUCCAAGACCAAACACGACAAAAUCACCGCAGUUGUUGGUCUUGCUGUUUUCAGCCAGUUUUGGUAUUGGUAUCCCCUUAUCUAUUUUAUCAGCUUGUCAUUCUCACCCACGGCAUUUAUUGGACUGAAUAAUGACCUAAAAGUUCCAAAAUUCGAUUUCCUGUCCCAUGCAAAACCUUCAUUAUUUGAGUAUCCUAAACCAACCACUGUGCCUGCUGCGACGUCUGCUGUAAAACUUCCAACUGCAGUUUUGUCAACUUCAGCAAAGGCGAAAGCUAGGGCUAAGAAAGAAGCUGAACAAAAGAACAUUGCUGAAAAGUCGUCUGCAGCUGAAUCUUCAUCCACAAGUUCUAAUCCUGCUAAAGGGAAGGCGUCCGCUGAGAAGGAUGGGGACUCCAUGCAGGUUGACAACCCACCUGAGAAGAAAGCAGAACCAGAGCCCUCUUUUGAAAUUCUGACCAACCCAGCUAGAGUGGUUCCUGCCCAGGAAAAGUUCAUCAAAUUUUUAGAGGAAAGCAGAUAUGUACCGGUGAAAUUGGCGCCUUCGGGUUUUG